RNAcentral lists this ribosomal RNA (241 nucleotides) under uncultured bacterium. Its description in RNAcentral is "partial 16S ribosomal RNA". It matches the Rfam family "Bacterial small subunit ribosomal RNA", at positions 334 to 571 of the family's 1533-position model. The record is from RNAcentral.
UUGGCCUACGGGAGGCAGCAGUGAGGAAUAUUGGUCAAUGGGCGGAAGCCUGAACCAGCCAAGUCGCGUGAGGGAAUAAGGCCCUACGGGUCGUAAACCUCUUUUGCCGGGGAGCAAGGGCCGGGACGAGUCCCGGUCCGGAGAGUACACGGAGAAAAAGCAUCGGCCAACUCCGUGCAAGCAGCCGCGGUAAUACGGAGGAAGCGAGCGUUAUCCGGAUUUAUUGGGUUUAAAGGGUGAG